RNAcentral lists this ribosomal RNA (1258 nucleotides) under metagenome. RNAcentral describes it as "bacterial LSU rRNA". It matches the Rfam family "Bacterial large subunit ribosomal RNA", at positions 1634 to 2884 of the family's 2925-position model. The record is from RNAcentral.
AUAUACGACCGUACCGCAAACCGACACUGGUGCGCGAGAUGAGUAUUCUAAGGCGCUUGAGAGAACUCAGGAGAAGGAACUCGGCAAAUUGACACCGUAACUUCGGAAGAAGGUGUGCCCUAUUAGUGUGUAGUGAACAACGAAGCAUGAAUGGGUUGCAAAAAAUCGGUGGCUGCGACUGUUUAUUAAAAACACAGCACUCUGCAAACACGAAAGUGGACGUAUAGGGUGUGACGCCUGCCCGGUGCUGGAAGAUUAAAUGAUGGGGUGCAAGCUCUUGAUUGAAGUCCCAGUAAACGGCGGCCGUAACAAUAACGGUCCUAAGGUAGCGAAAUUCCUUGUCGGGUAAGUUCCGACCUGCACGAAUGGCGUAACGAUGGCCACACUGUCUCCUCCUGAGACUCAGCGAAGUUGAAAUGUUUGUGAUGAUGCAAUCUCCCCGCGGAAAGACGGAAAGACCCCAUGAACCUUUACUGUAGCUUUGUAUUGGACUUUGAACAGAUCUGUGUAGGAUAGGUGGGAGGCUUUGAAGCAGGGUCGCUAGAUCUUGUGGAGCCAACGUUGAAAUACCACCCUGGUGUGUUUGAGGUUCUAACCUAGGUCCAUUAUCUGGAUCGGGGACAGUGCAUGGUAGGCAGUUUGACUGGGGCGGUCUCCUCCCAAAGCGUAACGGAGGAGUUCGAAGGUACGCUAGUUACGGUCGGACAUCGUGACGAUAGUGCAAUGGCAUAAGCGUGCUUAACUGCGAGACUGACAAGUCGAGCAGAUGCGAAAGCAGGACAUAGUGAUCCGGUGGUUCUGUAUGGAAGGGCCAUCGCUCAACGGAUAAAAGGUACUCUGGGGAUAACAGGCUGAUACCGCCCAAGAGUUCAUAUCGACGGCGGUGUUUGGCACCUCGAUGUCGGCUCAUCUCAUCCUGGGGCUGUAGCCGGUCCCAAGGGUAUGGCUGUUCGCCAUUUAAAGAGGUACGUGAGCUGGGUUUAAAACGUCGUGAGACAGUUUGGUCCCUAUCUUCCGUGGGCGCUGCAGAUUUGAGGAAGCCUGCUCCUAGUACGAGAGGACCGGAGUGGACACACCUCUGGUGUAUCGGUUGUCACGCCAGUGGCAUUGCCGAGUAGCUAAGUGUGGAAGAGAUAACCGCUGAAAGCAUCUAAGCGGGAAACUCGUUUCAAGAUGAGAUCUGCCGGGGCCUUGAGCCCCCUAAAGAGUCGUUCAAGACCAGGACGUUGAUAGGUCAGGUGUGGAAGCGAAAAAAAAU